RNAcentral lists this ribosomal RNA (126 nucleotides) under uncultured bacterium. RNAcentral describes it as "partial 16S ribosomal RNA". It matches the Rfam family "Bacterial small subunit ribosomal RNA", at positions 355 to 478 of the family's 1533-position model. The record is from RNAcentral.
UAAGGAAUAUUGGUCAAUGGGCGCAAGCCUGAACCAGCCAUGCCGCGUGCAGGAAGACGGCCCUAUGGGUUGUAAACUGCUUUUAUCAGGGAAUAAACCCCCGCUCGUGAGCGGGGCUGAACGUAC